RNAcentral lists this ribosomal RNA (253 nucleotides) under uncultured bacterium. RNAcentral describes it as "partial 16S ribosomal RNA". It matches the Rfam family "Bacterial small subunit ribosomal RNA", at positions 524 to 776 of the family's 1533-position model. The record is from RNAcentral.
UACGAAGGGGGCUAGCGUUGCUCGGAAUCACUGGGCGUAAAGGGUGCGUAGGCGGGUCUUUAAGUCAGGGGUGAAAUCCUGGAGCUCAACUCCAGAACUGCCUUUGAUACUGAGGAUCUUGAGUACGGGAGAGGUGAGCGGAACUGCGAGUGUAGAGGUGAAAUUCGUAGAUAUUCGCAAGAACACCAGUGGCGAAGGCGGCUCACUGGCCCGUUACUGACGCUGAGGCACGAAAGCGUGGGGAGCAAACAGG